RNAcentral lists this ribosomal RNA (374 nucleotides) under uncultured organism. RNAcentral describes it as "bacterial SSU rRNA". It matches the Rfam family "Bacterial small subunit ribosomal RNA", at positions 526 to 896 of the family's 1533-position model. The record is from RNAcentral.
CGGGGGGAGCAAGCGUUGUUCGGAUUUACUGGGCGUAAAGGGCGCGUAGGCGGCCACGACAAGUCAGUUGUGAAAUCUCUGGGCUUAACUCAGAACGGUCAACUGAUACUGUCGGGCUAGAGUGCAGAAGGGGCAACUGGAAUUCUCGGUGUAGCGGUGAAAUGCGUAGAUAUCGAGAGGAACACCUGCGGCGAAGGCGGGUUGCUGGGCUGACACUGACGCUGAGGCGCGAAAGCUAGGGGAGCGAACGGGAUUAGAUACCCCGGUAGUCCUAGCCUUAAACGAUGAAUGCUUGGUGUCUCGGGUUAUAUAGUCCCGAGGUGCCGUCGCUAACGCAUUAAGCAUUCCGCCUGGGGAGUACGGUCGCAAGACUG